RNAcentral lists this ribosomal RNA (123 nucleotides) under Clostridium sp. The record is from RNAcentral. Lineage: Bacteria; Bacillati; Bacillota; Clostridia; Eubacteriales; Clostridiaceae.
UCUGGUGAUGAUGGCAUAGAGGAAACACUCCUUCCCAUACCGAACAGGAAAGUUAAGCUCUAUAGCGCCGAUGGUACUGCAUGGGAGACUGUGUGGGAUAGCUCAGUUGGGAGAGCACCUGCC